UUUUCUUCUCCCCAAAACCUCAGAAAGAGACUGAAGAGAGCGAAAUGCUGCGAACGAUUCUUCGAAGGGCAAUAGCGACGGGCCCAAGGUCCGACGGCCCAUGGAGGCUGACGGCGACGGCGAACUACUCGUCGUCCAAGGACACCAAGUCGACGGUGAAGAAGGCCAAGAAGAGUAACAAGUCUAAAGGCGAGGCCACUGCCGCCGCAGACGACGAUGCCUACGCCGGCGCCGACGCCGAUCUCUUCGACGAUAAAGGUCGUGCUCGACGGCUUCAGGCCGACGAGAGCGAUCCCUCGCUCGAUGUGGGGCCCAAUGGCCGACCUCUCUUCACUUCUACUCCGACGCUGGCUCAGCUCACCAGCAUGGACAGCUGCUCCUACUUCAAGUUCAAGACGGAGGAGUUGAACAAGGUGUUGCCGGAGGGUUUGCCGUUGGGGAUGGUGAGGGAGUUCGAGGAGGCAAUGCAGAGCGCCGUGCUUGUUCGCCAGAGCUUCCUUGAUCUCCGGGACAAUUUCCGGCGGGUUGUGGACCCGCCGUUGGGAUCAGCUAGGAGCAAAGGGUCAAAAGUUAAAAAACAGAUUGUUUUGGAUGGCCCUGUAAGCUGUGGAAAGAGUACGGCUCUUGCGAUGCUAGUUCAUUGGGCUCGUGAGGAAGGUUGGUUGGUUUUGUAUGUUCCCAGAGGCAAGGACUGGACUCAUGGAGGUUUUUUCUAUAAAAACCCACAAACAGGUCUUUGGGAUACACCUGUUCAAGCUGAAAAUAUUCUCAAGGAUUUCCUAAAAUUUAAUGAAUCCCGUUUAAAACAAUUGUUGUGCCAAAUAUCUGAUCCUAUUCCAUUGGGAGAGGGAGCUGGUGUUGGAUGGAUGAAAGAUGGAAUUGAUUCCAUGGCAAUGCCUGAAGGUUCAACACUGUAUGACCUGGUUGAUACAGGAAUCAAGCACACUCAUGCAGCUGUUGGAGUGGUAGUUCGUUUGAGGAAGGAGUUAUCUCUAGUGAAAGAUAUCCCUGUGCUGAUUGCGAUUGAUCAGUACAAUAACUGGUUUACGUUCAGUGAGUAUGAAGAGGCAGUAACUGUUCGUUCUACUCGACCAAUACAUGCCAAAGAACUUGCUACGGUGAAGGCUUUUAGAUCUAUGAUCCAUGAUGACAUGAUGGUGGGUGCCUUUUCUCAUUCAACAGCAGUAGGAAAACUUCGUCAAGACUUGCCAGAUGUGCCCUCUGAUGCUCGCAUUAACUUUCCUCGUUACACUUUAGAUGAAGCAGCAGCUGUUUGCCAUUACUACCUUAGACAGAGGCUUAUACGCCGGGAAGCUUUCUCAGAGGAAAAUUGCAAGAGAAUAUACUACUUGUCCAAUGGAAACGGAGCAGAAAUGAGAUGGCUAGCUACUUUCAUGCGGGAGCAGUGACAGAACUUGCAUUUUUUAUCCAUAAUCAAGGCCGACCUUGGGACUAGGCGAAGUAGGCCUAUACCCCUCAACCCAAUCAGCCACAAAAUGUAAUAUAUCAGAAGGGAUACUGAAAAACAUUCAGCGGCAAAAAUCUAAAGAUAAAAAGGAUGCAUUGAACAAUGCUCUGUCAUAUCAUGAGUACAGCACACUGUAACAGGUCUUGAACAAUGGAGGCCGGCCCUAAAACUACGCUUCAGUGGAAUGGAACUUCCUUUGCCAUGGUAUGGUACUCCUAGGUUUGUACGGCUGUUGGUCUUCAUUUCACUCAAAGUCAUGGCCAAACAAAUCCAG
RNA transcript from Rosa chinensis, 1742 nucleotides. It is a transcript of the gene named 28S ribosomal protein S29, mitochondrial, with no coding region annotated. Lineage: Eukaryota; Viridiplantae; Streptophyta; Magnoliopsida; Rosales; Rosaceae. The record is from RefSeq and is a predicted model, not a curated record. The transcript has 9 exons.